AAUAGCCUACCUCACACAGCCAUUGUGUAUGACUCCGUGUACGAUUCGUCCCUGAUGUGCGCGACUGCUCUCAGAGUCGCCUUGAACAUGUCGGCAGAGACAUCAACAUAUAUGGUGCACUUGAAAGGCCUCAACGGGACCCAAGAGGAAAACAUAACCUAUGAUUAUUCAGCGGCAGUUCCAGACGACCCAACAAAGGCCACUCUUGUGAUCGACAAAGGUAAAAUCCACAUAGCAGCAGCCUUUUUGCUGAUUAAAUUUUUAAGAUGAUCACC
This 275-nucleotide long non-coding RNA is filed under the name Dermacentor andersoni. Its description in RNAcentral is "uncharacterized LOC126523509". Lineage: Eukaryota; Metazoa; Arthropoda; Arachnida; Ixodida; Ixodidae. The record is from RNAcentral.